This 462-nucleotide ribosomal RNA is filed under the name uncultured bacterium. RNAcentral describes it as "partial 16S ribosomal RNA". It matches the Rfam family "Bacterial small subunit ribosomal RNA", at positions 28 to 507 of the family's 1533-position model. The record is from RNAcentral.
GACGAACGCUGGCGGCGUGCUUAACACAUGCAAGUCGAGCGGAAAGGCCCUUCGGGGUACUCGAGCGGCGAACGGGUGAGUAACACGUGAGUAACCUGCCCCAGACUUUGGGAUAACCCUCGGAAACGGGGGCUAAUACCGGAUACGACACAGCUUCGCAUGGGGUCUGUGUGGGAAGUUUUUCGGUUUGGGAUGGGCUCGCGGCCUAUCAGCUUGUUGGUGGGGUGAUGGCCUACCAAGGCGACGACGGUUAGCCGGCCUGAGAGGGCGACCGGCCACACUGGGACUGAGACACGGCCCAGACUCCUACGGGAGGCAGCAGUGGGGAAUAUUGCACAAUGGGCGGAAGCCUGAUGCAGCGACGCCGCGUGAGGGAUGACGGCCUUCGGGUUGUAAACCUCUUUCAGCAGGGACGAAGCGUAAGUGACGGUACCUGCAGAAGAAGCGCCGGCCAACUACGUG